RNAcentral lists this ribosomal RNA (483 nucleotides) under uncultured bacterium. RNAcentral's name for it is "partial 16S ribosomal RNA". It matches the Rfam family "Bacterial small subunit ribosomal RNA", at positions 28 to 506 of the family's 1533-position model. The record is from RNAcentral.
AUUGAACGCUGGCGGCAUGCUUUACACAUGCAAGUCGAACGGCAGCGCGGGCUUCGGCCUGGCGGCGAGUGGCGAACGGGUGAGUAAUGCAUCGGAACGUGCCCAGUAGUGGGGGAUAGCCCGGCGAAAGCCGGAUUAAUACCGCAUACGACCUGAGGGUGAAAGCGGGGGACCGAAAGGCCUCGCGCUAUUGGAGCGGCCGAUGUCGGAUUAGCUAGUUGGUGGGGUAAAGGCUUACCAAGGCGACGAUCCGUAGCUGGUCUGAGAGGACGACCAGCCACACUGGGACUGAGACACGGCCCAGACUCCUACGGGAGGCAGCAGGGGGGAAUUUUGGACAAUGGGGGCAACCCUGAUCCAGCCAUGCCGCGUGCGGGAAGAAGGCCUUCGGGUUGUAAACCGCUUUUGUUCGGGAAGAAAUCCUCUGGGCUAAUACCCCGGGGGGAGGACGGUACCGGAAGAAUAAGCACCGGCUAACUACGU